AAAGCCUACGGGGGGCAGCAGUGAGGAAUAUUGGUCAAUGGGAGGAAUCCUGAACCAGCCAUGCCGCGUGCAGGACGACGGCUCUACGAGUUGUAAACUGCUUUUGUACCGGGGUAAAAUGCCUUACGAGUAGGGUUUUGGAAGUACGGUACGAAUAAGGAUCGGCUAACUCCGUGCCAGCAGCCGCGGUAAUACGGAGGAUCCGAGCGUUAUCCGGAUUCAUUGGGUUUAAAGGGUGCGUAGGCGGUCGGAUAAGUUAGAGGUGAAAUCCCGAGGCUCAACUUCGGAAUUGCCUCU
This 297-nucleotide ribosomal RNA is filed under the name uncultured bacterium. RNAcentral describes it as "partial 16S ribosomal RNA". It matches the Rfam family "Bacterial small subunit ribosomal RNA", at positions 334 to 628 of the family's 1533-position model. The record is from RNAcentral.